RNAcentral lists this ribosomal RNA (433 nucleotides) under uncultured bacterium. RNAcentral's name for it is "partial 16S ribosomal RNA". It matches the Rfam family "Bacterial small subunit ribosomal RNA", at positions 29 to 507 of the family's 1533-position model. The record is from RNAcentral.
AACGAACGCUGGCGGCAUGCCUAACACAUGCAAGUCGAACGAGACCUUCGGGUCUAGUGGCGCACGGGUGCGUAACUCGUGGGAACCUGCCCUUAGGUUCGGAAUAACUCCCCGAAAGGGGUGCUAAUACCGGAUAAUGUCUUCGGACCAAAGAUUUAUCGCCUUUGGAUGGGCCCGCGUUGGAUUAGCUAGUUGGUAGGGUAAAAGCCUACCAAGGCGACGAUCCAUAGCUGGUCUGAGAGGAUGAUCAGCCACACUGGGACUGAGACACGGCCCAGACUCCUACGGGAGGCAGCAGUGGGGAAUAUUGGACAAUGGGCGAAAGCCUGAUCCAGCAAUGCCGCGUGAGUGAUGAAGGCCUUAGGGUUGUAAAGCUCUUUUACCCGGGAUGAUAAUGACAGUACCGGGAGAAUAAGCUCCGGCUAACUCCGUG